AGUGAACGCUGGCGGUAGGCCUAACACAUGCAAGUCGAACGGCAGCACAGUAAGGGCUUGCUUCUACGGGUGGCGAGUGGCGGACGGGUGAGGAAUACAUCGGAAUCUACUGUUUCGUGGGGGAUAAAGUAGGGCAACUUACGCUAAUAACGCAUACGACCUACGGGUGAAAGCAGGGGCUCUUGGGACUUUGGGUGAACGAAUGAGCUGGUGUCGGAUUAGCUAGUUGGCGGGGUAACGGCUCACCAAGGGGACGGUCCGUAGCCGGUCUGAGAGGGGGAAGCGGCCCUGUGGGACCGAGAGGCGGUACAGACUCCUACGGGAGGCAGCAGUGGGGAAGAUUGGACAAUGGGCGCAAGCCUGAUCCAGCCAUACCGCGUGGGUGAAGAAGGGCUUCGGGUUGUAAAGCCCUUUUGGUGUGAAAGAAAGGCAGCAGGUUAAUACCCCGCUGUUCUGACGGUACCCAAAGAAUAAGCACCGGCUAACUUCGUG
RNAcentral lists this ribosomal RNA (492 nucleotides) under uncultured bacterium. Its description in RNAcentral is "partial 16S ribosomal RNA". It matches the Rfam family "Bacterial small subunit ribosomal RNA", at positions 30 to 507 of the family's 1533-position model. The record is from RNAcentral.